ACGCACGCUGGCGGCGUGCUUAACACCUGCCAGUCGAACGGAAAGGCCCUGCUUUUGUGGGGUGCUCGAGUGGCGAACGGGUGAGUAACACGUGAGUAACCUGCCCUUGACUUUGGGAUAACUUCAGGAAACUGGGGCUAAUACCGGAUAGGAGCUCCUGCUGCAUGGUGGGGGUUGGAAAGUUUCGGCGGUUGGGGAUGGACUCGCGGCUUAUCAGCUUGUUGGUGGGGUAGUGGCUUACCAAGGCUUUGACGGGUAGCCGGCCUGAGAGGGUGACCGGCCACAUUGGGACUGAGAUACGGCCCAGACUCCUACGGGAGGCAGCAGUGGGGAAUAUUGCACAAUGGGCGGAAGCCUGAUGUAGCAACGCCGCGUGCGGGAUGACGGCCUUCGGGUUGUAAACCGCUUUCGCCUGUGACGAAGCGUGAGUGACGGUAAUGGGUAAAGAAGCACCGGCUAACUACGUG
Molecule: ribosomal RNA, 467 nt
Filed under: uncultured bacterium
Lineage: Bacteria
Description: partial 16S ribosomal RNA
Rfam family: Bacterial small subunit ribosomal RNA
Source: RNAcentral